GGUUGGUGACGCGCGCGCAGUUCUCCAGGCGCAGUGCGCGCAGGCGUGGGCAGCAGCGCAGCAGGCGCGCCAGGCAGUCGUCGGUAACGUGGCCGCAGCCCGACAGCGUGACGGACGCCAGGUUGGGGCACCUGUGAGGAGAGUGCGGUGACCCGGGGCUCACUGCCUUGUUAAAGCCACCCAACCGCCCCGGGGGACUGAGUGGACUCAUUUACCGAGGAGGACUCGGGCCCUGCGAGGUCACUUCAUCCUGGCCCAGGUACAGCAGCUCCAAAUCGUGGGGAUUCUGUAAGAGCUUGCUACCUGUUGACUGAGGAGGCCCACGAGUCGAGGAGAACUAUCAAGAGUGGUACAAAACUGCAGGUCAUUGGGCUGGCCACCAGGUAUUCCCACCCACCAGAAGCUGGCUGUUGUACUCACCCGGAACCGUGGUGCACCACCACAGCAGCGAGGUCAUACAGGCAGCUCUCCGGGCCACUGUUCUCAGGCUACAGAACAAGGAAGAAGGAGCAGUGGUCAAUGACAUCGGUAUCUUGAUGACCUCUACCCUCUCCAUGUGAUGACAAUCUUACUGAAGAGCCAUUUUUUCACCACGCUAAAAAGGUAACCACCUUACCUCUAGUAAGUAGCAUUUCAUGUCUAGGCCUCUCAGUGGAAAUUCUACGUAUGUAUCAACUUUAUUUCUUAAAUAUGCUGUCCAAUGAAAUCUUUUCAAAUGUAAGCAUAGCACCUGGAGGACAGAGAUGAGGUCAAAGAUUGUGAACACCUAAUUCACCUUUCAGUCAAAGUUUCAUACUAUUAUCAGUUCAGUAAAUAACAUUUUAGCUGCCCUAUCAAUCAUUCUUCCAUGCAUACCUUAUGCAUUCAUUCUGUAAAGGGUUUAGCUUUUACUGAAAACCCUAGAGACAAAUACAGAACAGUUCACAUAAUGUAAAGUUAUAGACAUGGUCUUAGCAGUCAAGCAUUUUCCCCUUGAAACUGCUUCAUAACUCAGAAUUCAACACUCACCUUGGGUAGUUUUUGAAUCCAAAACUUUUUUGUGGACUUUUGUUUCUUUUUGCAUUUAUGGCACAUAUAUAACUCUGUCUCAUCAAGUUCUUCUAAGUCGGUAAAACUGCGAAGACAAUCUAAACAAAUUGAUUUUGGCAGCAUUAAAACAAGAUGCCUUUUAUAGAGGCAAUGUACUGUAGAAAAAAGACCCAGGUUUAAAAUCUCAGCUUUAUUAGCUAUACGACCUUAGAAAAGUUAACCUUUCUCAGUUGCAAACUGGAGACAAAAAAUAAUACCUACUUUGAAGAACUAUUGUAAGGAAGAAAAAUAACAUGUGUAGAGCACCUGGCAUCAUGCCUGACAUCUGGUGAUGAUCAAUUGUGUUGGUUUUACUAUUAAUGAAAAUUCAUCUGGAUAAUUCUGAUAAAAUGGUUUCCUGAUGAAUUUAAAGUUUUAAUUGUAGUUUUCUGUCAAUAUGUUACAUUAUACAGGACAAAGCUCCACACUCAUAAAAAAAGUCAAAUUUAGAUCAUUUAAAAAUAAACAUUAGAUCACAGAAGGCUACACUAUCAACCUUCUCUGUCCAGAAGCUAUACUCUCAGUUCCUAGAUAAAUCACAGCUACAUUUUUUUUCAUUUAAAGAUGUAAUUGUGUAACCCGGGGUUUAGUAAACUGCAGCCCUAAAACAUCCAGCCAGCCACCUGGUUUUGUAAAUAAAGUUUCACUGGAACA
Molecule: long non-coding RNA, 1722 nt
Organism: Nomascus leucogenys (northern white-cheeked gibbon)
Lineage: Eukaryota; Metazoa; Chordata; Mammalia; Primates; Hylobatidae
Source: RefSeq, a predicted model, not a curated record